GGGCUGGACCUCUCGGGGUUACAGCCUUGCUGAAUUAUUCACCCUUGUCUUUUGCGUACUUCUUGUUUCCUUGGUGGGUUCGCCCACCACUAGGACAAACAUAAACCUUUUGUAAUUGCAAUCAGCGUCAGUAACAAAUUAAUAAUUACAACUUUCAACAACGGAUCUCUUGGUUCUGGCAUCGAUGAAGAACGCAGCGAAAUGCGAUAAGUAGUGUGAAUUGCAGAAUUCAGUGAAUCAUCGAAUCUUUGAACGCACAUUGCGCCCUUUGGUAUUCCAAAGGGCAUGCCUGUUCGAGCGUCAUUUGUACCCUCAAGCUUUGCUUGGUGUUGGGCGUCUUGUCUCUAGCUUUGCUGGAGACUCGCCUUAAAGUAAUUGGCAGCCGGCCUACUGGUUUCGGAGCGCAGCACAAGUCGCACUCUCUAUCAGCAAAGGUCUAGCAUCCAUUAAGCCUUUUUUUCAACUUUUGACCUCGGAUCAGGUAGGGAUACCCGCUGAACUUAAGCAUAUCAAUAAGCGGAGG
RNAcentral lists this ribosomal RNA (523 nucleotides) under Alternaria tenuissima. Its description in RNAcentral is "eukaryotic LSU rRNA". The stretch from base 150 to 303 matches the Rfam family "5.8S ribosomal RNA". The record is from RNAcentral. Lineage: Eukaryota; Fungi; Ascomycota; Dothideomycetes; Pleosporales; Pleosporaceae.